GACGAACGCUGGCGGCGUGCCUAAUACAUGCAAGUCGAGCGAGCGGAACUAACAGAUUUACUUCGGUAAUGACGUUAGGAAAGCGAGCGGCGGAUGGGUGAGUAACACGUGGGGAACCUGCCCCAUAGUCUGGGAUACCACUUGGAAACAGGUGCUAAUACCGGAUAAGAAAGCAGAUCGCAUGAUCAGCUUUUAAAAGGCGGCGUAAGCUGUCGCUAUGGGAUGGCCCCGCGGUGCAUUAGCUAGUUGGUAAGGUAAAGGCUUACCAAGGCGAUGAUGCAUAGCCGAGUUGAGAGACUGAUCGGCCACAUUGGGACUGAGACACGGCCCAAACUCCUACGGGAGGCAGCAGUAGGGAAUCUUCCACAAUGGACGCAAGUCUGAUGGAGCAACGCCGCGUGAGUGAAGAAGGUUUUCGGAUCGUAAAGCUCUGUUGUUGGUGAAGAAGGAUAGAGGUAGUAACUGGCCUUUAUUUGGCGGUAAUCAACCAGAAAGUCACGGCUAACUACGUGCCAGCCGCCGCAGUAA
This 528-nucleotide ribosomal RNA is filed under the name uncultured bacterium. RNAcentral describes it as "partial 16S ribosomal RNA". It matches the Rfam family "Bacterial small subunit ribosomal RNA", at positions 28 to 523 of the family's 1533-position model. The record is from RNAcentral.